Molecule: ribosomal RNA, 460 nt
Filed under: uncultured bacterium
Lineage: Bacteria
Description: partial 16S ribosomal RNA
Rfam family: Bacterial small subunit ribosomal RNA
Source: RNAcentral
CCUACGGGGCGCAGCAGUGAGGAAUAUUGGUCAAUGGGCGCGAGCCUGAACCAGCCAAGUAGCGUGAAGGAUGACUGCCCUACGGGUUGUAAACUUCUUCUAUAAAGGAAUAAAGUGAGGCAUGUGUGCCUUCUGGUAUGUACUUUAUGAAUAAGGAUCGGCUAACGCCGUGCCAGCAGCCGCGUUAAUAUGGAGGAUCCGAGUGUUAUCCGGAUUUAUUGGGUUUAACGGGAGCGUAGGUGGAUUGUUAAGUCAGUUGUGAAAGUUUGCGGCUCAACCGUAAAAUUGCAGUUGAUACUGGCAGUAUUGAGUACAGUAGAGGUGCGGGGGAUUCGUGGUGUAGCGGUGAAAUGCUUAGAUAUCACGAAGAACUCCGAUUGCGAAGGCAGUUCACUGGACUGCAACUGACACUGAGGCUCGAAAGUGUGGGUAUCAAACAGGAUUAGAUACCCGAGUAGUC